Molecule: transfer RNA, 74 nt
Filed under: Planctomycetaceae bacterium
Lineage: Bacteria; Pseudomonadati; Planctomycetota; Planctomycetia; Planctomycetales; Planctomycetaceae
Also listed under: 1 other name
Description: tRNA-Arg
Rfam family: tRNA
About the family: Transfer RNA (tRNA) molecules are approximately 80 nucleotides in length. Their secondary structure includes four short double-helical elements and three loops (D, anti-codon, and T loops).
Source: RNAcentral
GCGCUCGUAGCUCAGUUGGAUAGAGCAACGGACUUCUAAUCCGUAGGUCGCUGGUUCGAAUCCAGCCGGGCGUG